This 25-nucleotide non-coding RNA is filed under the name Rattus norvegicus (Norway rat). Lineage: Eukaryota; Metazoa; Chordata; Mammalia; Rodentia; Muridae. The record is from RNAcentral.
UGACAAAAAAGCGGCCACAGCGAGC